AGUGGGAGAAGUCAGCCAUUCGUUCUUAGCGCUGUGGAGAAAUGGGCUGUGUGCCGUAUCUGGGCACAUGGAGAAAGGAAACUGUAUUCCAUCCAAGUGAAAUGGACAGUUUCAGGUGAGGUGUUUUUGUCAGCUCUUAAAGCCAACAGGGCCAAAGAUGGAGGGUGUGGCCCACUCCUUCCUCCUCAGCAGGAAGAGGCCAAGGCGGCCUGGGCUACAGGUGCACCGAUGGGACUCUGCAUCUGGCUGUGUGCGUAUUCCAGUGUGCCGUAGGUGGCCUGGCAGUGCUUAUCAUGGCUCAGCCAUCCCCUUCACUUGAGCUCCCUAAUUGCCUGGUCUCUCCACAAGGUGAGGCUUUUACCAAGUUUACUUUGACUGCAGGCCGUCCUUGGAGCCUGCAAGCACGUUGGAGAGCUCGUUAUAAGGACUCCCACUGCUGCGCUUCCCUACAGCAGCUCAGGGGUGAGGCGCACGCUGAGAAAACUCAUCGCCAGACUAAGGCCCCAGCUGCAAUAGCAAAUCCCAGGGAAUGUUGUAGCCCUGUGAGAUUACGUGAGUGAAGCUCUCGCACAGCCUGUAUGUCAUUCCGUGCUUCCACAUCUGUUAGUUGUUUAUUGAAUCAAGAACUCAGAGCCCCAUGGCUUGAUGAGCAGUCUGUAGGUCCACACCCUGGAUCCAAACCUGCAAACCCUGGGCUGCCGAAGUGGAAUGCAUGAAGUGGAAUGCUACGAUGCCACUGGGCCGGCCCCUGUCUGCACUUUAUUUUGUUUGAAUGUCAGAGCAUCCCUGGACUCAAUCUUUCCACCAUUUUUCUCU
RNAcentral lists this long non-coding RNA (816 nucleotides) under Equus caballus (horse). RNAcentral's name for it is "lncRNA (ENSECAG00000056415.1)". Lineage: Eukaryota; Metazoa; Chordata; Mammalia; Perissodactyla; Equidae. The record is from RNAcentral.